Molecule: long non-coding RNA, 318 nt
Organism: Myotis davidii
Lineage: Eukaryota; Metazoa; Chordata; Mammalia; Chiroptera; Vespertilionidae
Exons: 3
Source: RefSeq, a predicted model, not a curated record
UCCUCCCUGUGACCCGGGCGUGCACCUCGCUGCCUGAUGUGGGCGCAGGGAAGGCGGGGGGCCCCCAGACCAGCCCUCCUUCCUGCCCCCACAUCCGGGGGCGUCGCUGAGCUCACGCCUCCGGUCGCCUGCAGCGUUUGCAUGUUGAGAAGCGAUGAGGUCCUGCCUGCCGUACCUGGUGCUCCUGUGGGGCGCCCUCGGGGUCGCCGACGCCGCCAAGAUCAUCGUGGUGCCGCCCAUCAUGUUUGAGAGCCACAUGUACAUCUUCAAGACGCUGGCCGCCGCCCUGCACGCGCGGGGCCACCGCACCGUGUUCCU